CGGACGGGUGAGUAAUGUCUGGGAAACUGCCUGAUGGAGGGGGAUAACUACUGGAAACGGUAGCUAAUACCGCAUAACGUCGCAAGACCAAAGAGGGGGACCUUCGGGCCUCUUGCCAUCGGAUGUGCCCAGAUGGGAUUAGCUAGUAGGUGGGGUAACGGCUCACCUAGGCGACGAUCCCUAGCUGGUCUGAGAGGAUGACCAGCCACACUGGAACUGAGACACGGUCCAGACUCCUACGGGAGGCAGCAGUGGGGAAUAUUGCACAAUGGGCGCAAGCCUGAUGCAGCCAUGCCGCGUGUAUGAAGAAGGCCUUCGGGUUGUAAAGUACUUUCAGCGGGGAGGAAGGGAGUAAAGUUAAUACCUUUGCUCAUUGACGUUACCCGCAGAAGAAGCACCGGCUAACUCCGUGCCAGCAGCCGCGGUAAUACGGAGGGUGCAAGCGUUAAUCGGAAUUACUGGGCGUAAAGCGCACGCAGGCGGUUUGUUAAGUCAGAUGUGAAAUCCCCGGGCUCAACCUGGGAACUGCAUCUGAUACUGGCAAGCUUGAGUCUCGU
Molecule: ribosomal RNA, 557 nt
Filed under: uncultured bacterium
Lineage: Bacteria
Description: bacterial SSU rRNA
Rfam family: Bacterial small subunit ribosomal RNA
Source: RNAcentral